This 416-nucleotide ribosomal RNA is filed under the name Corynebacterium amycolatum. RNAcentral's name for it is "bacterial SSU rRNA". It matches the Rfam family "Bacterial small subunit ribosomal RNA", at positions 353 to 787 of the family's 1533-position model. The record is from RNAcentral. Lineage: Bacteria; Bacillati; Actinomycetota; Actinomycetes; Mycobacteriales; Corynebacteriaceae.
AGUGGGGAAUAUUGCACAAUGGGCGAAAGCCUGAUGCAGCAACGCCGCGUGAGCGAUGAAGGCCUUCGGGUCGUAAAGCUCUGUCCUCAAGGAAGAUAAUGACGGUACUUGAGGAGGAAGCCCCGGCUAACUACGUGCCAGCAGCCGCGGUAAUACGUAGGGGGCUAGCGUUAUCCGGAAUUACUGGGCGUAAAGGGUGCGUAGGCGGUCUUUCAAGCCAGAAGUGAAAGGCUACGGCUCAACCGUAGUAAGCUUUUGGAACUGUAGGACUUGAGUGCAGGAGAGGAGAGUGGAAUUCCUAGUGUAGCGGUGAAAUGCGUAGAUAUUAGGAGGAACACCAGUAGCGAAGGCGGCUCUCUGGACUGUAACUGACGCUGAGGCACGAAAGCGUGGGGAGCGAACAGGAUUAGAUACCC